RNAcentral lists this long non-coding RNA (512 nucleotides) under Homo sapiens (human). Its description in RNAcentral is "non-protein coding CASC15:62". Lineage: Eukaryota; Metazoa; Chordata; Mammalia; Primates; Hominidae. The record is from RNAcentral.
CUUUUGCGUCAGUGAGAAUCAAAUGAUUCAACAGUGAAAAGCAAACUCUUGGACUGGAAUAGCAAGAUGACCCAUCUCUAAACAAAGCAAACUGACUAGGAUUCUCUCAUGCUUAACAUGCAUCUUACUGGUUCUUUAUGAAGAGCUUUCUCUUGUUCUGGAGACCAGAAGGCCAAAAUCAAAAGUAUGGGCAGGCUUGAUUUCUUUAGAAGACUCCAGCGGAGAACUGUGUCUCCUUGCUUCUGGGCACCGAGGAAGAGAACCAAUGGCAGAGGCCACAUGUGCAAGCAAGAUGGGAGUCUGGAGAGCCUCAGGCUAAAUCACGAGUGCUCAGCCCUCUCCUCUUUGUAAGGGCAACCGGGUCAUAUCUGCCAGCAUAGAACUGCUCUGUCCACAGCCCUAAAAUCUAAUACCUAGAACAAUAAAUGCACUUAAGCACGUCAAACUCUCUCAACCAGUGAUGAAAUCUGUCACUAGCGAAGGGACUUGUCCCAAGGGAGCUGAACACCUGC